GAUGAAGAACGUAGCGAAAUGCGAUAAGUAAUGUGAAUUGCAGAAUUCAGUGAAUCAUCGAAUCUUUGAACGCACAUUGCGCCCCCUGGUAUUCCGGGGGGCAUGCCUGUUCGAGCGUCAUUUCACCACUCAAGCCUCUCUUGGUAUUGGGCAACGCGGUCCGCCGCGUGCCUCAAAUCGACCGGCUGGGUCUUCUGUCCCCUAAGCGUUGUGGAAACUAUUCGCUAAAGGGUGUUCGGGAGGCUACGCCGUAAAACAACCCCAUUUCUAAGGUUGACCUCGGAUCAGGUAGGGAUACCCGCUGAACUUAAGCAUAUCAAUAGCGGAGGA
This 330-nucleotide unclassified non-coding RNA is filed under the name soil metagenome. RNAcentral describes it as "partial contains 5.8S ribosomal RNA, internal transcribed spacer 2, and large subunit ribosomal RNA". The stretch from base 1 to 120 matches the Rfam family "5.8S ribosomal RNA", at positions 35 to 154 of the family's 154-position model. The record is from RNAcentral.